Molecule: long non-coding RNA, 365 nt
Organism: Helianthus annuus (common sunflower)
Lineage: Eukaryota; Viridiplantae; Streptophyta; Magnoliopsida; Asterales; Asteraceae
Exons: 3
Source: RefSeq, a predicted model, not a curated record
UCUCAUUUUCAGCUGCCCACAUCUGAAUUCAUCACCAUCACUUCAACCUCCACUCCUUUGAUCCAUCUUUAAGUCUAAAACAAGUGUUAGAAAGAAGCCUUGUGGAGUUUGGAGCAUUAGAGCCUUGAAGAAGAAUCACCACUUGCAUUCUCACACCUCUUUCACCAUCAUUUCUUGUUCACAAGUUCAUCCCUAGCCCUUGUGCUAGUAGUAGUCGUGUUUGCUGAGGAGAUUUGGGUUACGAGUACCGAAGACGCAAUACUGAAAUUAAGUAUGGAUCUGGCGGGCGUUGGAAUUUCAAGUCAUGUUAAGUAUAAAGAAGUCAUCCAUGGUUUUUGGGUUUGGCCACAGUGUCCUAAUCCUGG